UACGAAGGGGGCUAGCGUUGCUCGGAAUUACUGGGCGUAAAGGGCGCGUAGGCGGACAGUUUAGUCAGAGGUGAAAGCCCAGGGCUCAACCCUGGAAUUGCCUUUGAUACUGGCUGUCUUGAGUACGGGAGAGGUGUGUGGAACUCCGAGUGUAGAGGUGAAAUUCGUAGAUAUUCGCAAGAACACCAGUGGCGAAGGCGGCUCACUGGCCCGAUACUGACGCUGAGGCACGAAAGCGUGGGGAGCAAACAGG
This 253-nucleotide ribosomal RNA is filed under the name uncultured bacterium. Its description in RNAcentral is "partial 16S ribosomal RNA". It matches the Rfam family "Bacterial small subunit ribosomal RNA", at positions 524 to 776 of the family's 1533-position model. The record is from RNAcentral.